RNAcentral lists this transfer RNA (73 nucleotides) under Stegodyphus mimosarum. It matches the Rfam family "tRNA". From Rfam's summary of the family: Transfer RNA (tRNA) molecules are approximately 80 nucleotides in length. Their secondary structure includes four short double-helical elements and three loops (D, anti-codon, and T loops). Lineage: Eukaryota; Metazoa; Arthropoda; Arachnida; Araneae; Eresidae. The record is from Rfam by way of RNAcentral.
GCCUUCGUGGUGUAGUGGUCAACACGCUCGAAGCGUAUUCGAGAGGUCCACGGUUCGAGUCCCGGCGAGGGCA